AUUCCAGCUCCAAUAGCGUAUAUUUAAGUUGCUGCAGUUAAAAAGCUCGUAGUUGGAUUUCGGGUGGGAAUGGCCGGUCCGCCGUUUCGGUGUGCACUUGCUACGCCCACCUUGCUGCCGGGGACGUGCUCUUGAGUUCACGCUCGGGACACGGAGUCGGCGAGGUUACUUUGAGUAAAUUAGAGUGUUCAAAGCAGGCCUACGCUCUGAAUACAUUAGCAUGGAAUAACACGAUAGGACUCUGGCCUAUCUUGUUGGUCUGUAGGACCGGAGUAAUGAUUAAGAGGGACAGUCGGGGGCAUUCGUAUUUCAUUGUCAGAGGUGAAAUUCUUGGAUUUAUGAAAGACGAACUACUGCGAAAGCAUUUGCCAAGGAUGUUUUCAUCA
RNAcentral lists this ribosomal RNA (386 nucleotides) under Picochlorum sp. Its description in RNAcentral is "partial small subunit ribosomal RNA". It matches the Rfam family "Eukaryotic small subunit ribosomal RNA", at positions 582 to 975 of the family's 1831-position model. Lineage: Eukaryota; Viridiplantae; Chlorophyta; Trebouxiophyceae. The record is from RNAcentral.